Molecule: small nuclear RNA, 107 nt
Organism: Otolemur garnettii (small-eared galago)
Lineage: Eukaryota; Metazoa; Chordata; Mammalia; Primates; Galagidae
Source: Ensembl
GUACUCACUUCAGCAUCACAUAUACUAAACUUGGACAGAUACAGAGAAGAUUAGCAUGGCCCCUGCCCAAGGAUGACAUGCAAAUUCGUGAAGCACUCCAUAUUUAA